This 66-nucleotide transfer RNA is filed under the name Stolotermes victoriensis. RNAcentral describes it as "tRNA-Ser". It matches the Rfam family "tRNA". From Rfam's summary of the family: Transfer RNA (tRNA) molecules are approximately 80 nucleotides in length. The record is from RNAcentral. Lineage: Eukaryota; Metazoa; Arthropoda; Insecta; Blattodea; Termopsidae.
AGUUAAAAAGCUUAUAAAGCAGGUACCUUGAAAGUACAAGAAAGGGGCUAAAUCCCCUAUUAACUU